AGAGUUUGAUCCUGGCUCAGAACGAACGCUGCCAGCAGCCGCGGUAAGACGUAGGGGGCCAGCGUUGCUCGGAAUUACUGGGUGUAAAGGGUUCGUAGGCGGUGUGGCAAGUCGGGAGUGAAAUCUCUGGGCUCAACCCAGAGUCUGCCUCCGAAACUGCUGUGCUUGAGUGUGGGAGAGGCGCGUGGAAUUGCAGGUGUAGCGGUGAAAUGCGUAGAUAUCUGCAGGAACACCCGUGGCGAAAGCGGCGCGCUGGACCACUACUGACGCUGAGGAACGAAAGCUAGGGGAGCAAACAGGAUUAGAUACCCUGGUAGUCCUAGCUCUAAACGAUCAGGACUUGGGGUGCCACCCGUUCGGGUGUCGUCCCGGAGCUAACGCGUUAAGUCCUGCACCUGGGGAGUACGGUCGCAAGACUGAAACUCAAAGGAAUUGACGGGGGCCCGCACAAGCGGUGGAACAUGUGGUUCAAUUCGACGCUACGCGAGGAACCUUACCUGGGCUCGAAAUGCUGGCGACCAGCUGUGGAAACACGGCCUUCCCGCAAGGGACACCAGUAUAGGCGCUGCAUGGCUGUCGUCAGCUCGUGCCGUGAGGUGUUGGGUUAAGUCCCGCAACGAGCGCAACCCCUGCACGUAGUUGCCACUCCGCAAGGAGGGAACUCUACGUGGACUGCUCCGGAUAACGGAGAGGAAGGUGGGGAUGACGUCAAGUCCGCAUGGCCUUUAUGUCCAGGGCUACACACGUGUUACAAUGCAGGGCACAAACCGUUGCCAACCCGCGAGGGGGAGCUAAUCGGAAAAAACUCUGCUCAGUUCGGAUUGCAGUCUGCAACUCGACUGCAUGAAGCCGGAAUCGCUAGUAAUGGCGUAUCAGAUCGACGCCGUGAAUACGUUCCCGGGCCUUGUACACACCGCCCGUCACAUCACGAAAGUGAGUUGUACUAGAAGUCGCUGCGCUGACCGCAAGGAGGCAAGCGCCCAAGGUAUGACCCAUGAUUGGGGUGAAGUCGUAACAAGGUAACCGU
RNAcentral lists this ribosomal RNA (1027 nucleotides) under uncultured Acidobacteriota bacterium. Its description in RNAcentral is "bacterial SSU rRNA". It matches the Rfam family "Bacterial small subunit ribosomal RNA". Lineage: Bacteria; Pseudomonadati; Acidobacteriota. The record is from RNAcentral.